GAAAUGCGAUAAGUAGUGUGAAUUGCAGAAUUCAGUGAAUCAUCGAAUCUUUGAACACACAUUGCGCCCCUUGGUAUUCCAUGGGGCAUGCCUGUUCGAGCGUCAUUUGUACCUUCAAGCUUUGCUUGGUGUUGGGUGUUUGUCUCGCCUCUGCGCGCAGACUCGCCUCAAAACAAUUGGCAGCCGGCGUAUUGAUUUCGGAGCGCAGUACAUCUCGCGCUUUGCACUCAUAACGACGACGUCCAAAAAGUACAUUUUUUACACUCUUGACCUCGGAUCAGGUAGGGAUACCCGCUGAACUUAAGC
Molecule: unclassified non-coding RNA, 306 nt
Filed under: plant metagenome
Description: partial contains 5.8S ribosomal RNA, internal transcribed spacer 2, and large subunit ribosomal RNA
Rfam family: 5.8S ribosomal RNA (bases 1-105)
Source: RNAcentral